CAGCCGCCGCGGUAACACCAGCAGCCCAAGUGGUGGUCGCGCUUAUUGGGCCUAAAGCGCUCGUAGCCUGGCCGGUAAGUUCCCCGUGAAAUCGGGUCGCCCAACGAUUCGGCUUGCGGGGAAUACUGUCGGUCUUGGGGCCGGGAGACGCCGAGGGUACUCCGGGGGUAGCGGUGAAAUGCUGUAAUCCUCGGGGGACUACCAGUGGCGAAGGCGCUCGGCGAUAACGGGCCUGACGGUGAGGGGCGAAAGCUGGGGGCGCGAACGGGAUUAGAUACCCCCGUAGUCCCUGUCUCUUAUA
RNAcentral lists this ribosomal RNA (301 nucleotides) under uncultured bacterium. RNAcentral's name for it is "partial 16S ribosomal RNA". It matches the Rfam family "Archaeal small subunit ribosomal RNA", at positions 459 to 759 of the family's 1478-position model. The record is from RNAcentral.